RNAcentral lists this ribosomal RNA (256 nucleotides) under uncultured bacterium. RNAcentral describes it as "partial 16S ribosomal RNA". It matches the Rfam family "Bacterial small subunit ribosomal RNA", at positions 336 to 589 of the family's 1533-position model. The record is from RNAcentral.
UUCCUACGGGGGGCAGCAGUGAGGAAUAUUGGUCAAUGGACGCAAGUCUGAACCAGCCAUGCCGCGUGCAGGAAGACGGCUCUAUGAGUUGUAAACUGCUUUUGUACGAGGGUAAACGCAGAUACGCGUAUCUGUCUGAAAGUAUCGUACGAAUAAGGAUCGGCUAACUCCGUGCCAGCAGCCGCGGUAAUACGGAGGAUCCGAGCGUUAUCCGGAUUUAUUGGGUUUAAAGGGAGCGUAGAUGGGUUGUUAAGUC